GACGUAGGUGGCGAACGUUAUCCGGAAUCAUUGGGCGUAAAGGGUGCGUAGAUGGCAUGAUAAGUUAUUAGUGGGAAAUCGAGGCUCAACCUCGUGGAAGCUGGUAAUACUGUUUUGCUUGAGUGCAGGAGAGGUUAACGGAACUCCAUGUGGAGCGGUAAAAUGCGUGGAUAUAUGGAAGAACAUCAAUAACGGCGAAGGCAGUUAACUAUUCUGCUACUGACAUUGAGGCACGAAAGCGUGGGGAGCAAAACGG
RNAcentral lists this ribosomal RNA (256 nucleotides) under uncultured bacterium. Its description in RNAcentral is "partial 16S ribosomal RNA". It matches the Rfam family "Bacterial small subunit ribosomal RNA", at positions 524 to 776 of the family's 1533-position model. The record is from RNAcentral.